UAACAGCUUCAUAUUCCACAAAGAUCACAAGUUGUGUGUGUGUGUUUGUGGGGGGGGGGGGGUGGGGGGGGGGAAUGAAUACAGAUAGAAAAAACUAAAACAUGUGUAUUUGCUGGAGGAAGCACCUGCCUCCGUUCGGAGAAGAAGAAAAUUGGUGCUCCUUUUGUGGUUGGAGUUAUUUAUAUUUAUCUGGUUGUUAAAGAAAAAUGAAGAAGCACAGCAGAUCGUUACCUUGGACACACUGACUGAAAAGAAUUCAGGAAUAACGUUCACACAUCGAGAGAAGCAGCAUUAGCUGACGCACCUGCCGGCGCCUCCGACAGACAUUUAGUCCAAAUCCCUGUCGGGAAGUGCAAUUCCUGCACAGUCAACGGAAGGUCAUAUUUGAUAACUUGGUCUCGGCCAGUUAAUGUCAAACAAAGGCCCGGACAGGUGUUUCACUUAAUCUGAGCCAGAAAGAGCAACGAUGUGUCUCCGACUCUGGCGGCUGCCUGUGAGACGGCUUAAUUGAACACAAGCGCACAAUAGCAGCACAGAGAAGUGGGGUGAAAACGCUGGAAAUGCCAGGUCGUCUAUUGUGUCCUUUCAGAAUUUCCUCUCCACUGACCCGCCAAGGUAAGACUUCCUCAAGGAAGUACAUGUGACACGUGUUCAGACGGCGAUUCUUUCCCUCUAUCCUACAAGUCUCUCAGCAACCGUGACGAAGUGGAAACAAGGCCGAAACCCGAAGCCGCAGCAAUUUAGAAGGUAAGUUCUCACGGGCGCUUCCUCCUUCCACCUCGGGAGUCAUCAGGAUACAACUCAAGCUUUCAAACUAGUCAAUGGGAUUCAAUUUAGAAUCAGUGUCUUAAUAAGAGUAAAUCCAAUAACGAAUAAGAUUAUAAAAUCCCAAUGAUGUGGGGGUGCUGCUGGAUGGUGGCAUCAGGCAACGCAUCCCGCUGUUACGCCUCAUAUAGCUUUUUCAGCUCUGAUAUUCAAUAACACAACCGGCGAUCAAUUGUGAUGAGGGUCGCGGCCUUGGGCUCGCCCAUUGUGCUCGUCUCAUUAGCUUACAUUCAUGUAAUGUAUUGACCGUUUGCCGCUCACUGAUUGGGGGCCACGGUCUGAGCUUGAACUCUUGUUAUAUCAUGAGCGCUCCGAGUCUCCUCGGGGCUGAAAGCGGAUCACCGGGGGCCCCGAUAUCACAGGUUGCGCUCCGGGGACCUGAUUUGCAGUGACGGACGGGCCGAUGCCUGGAAGUGCAGAGCGUCACAAACACCUCGUCACUACUCUCCGUGAGCUCCUGGAUGUGACAGCCAAAGCCAAACAUUGGACAUCCGUGUCGAGUUCUGUGAGAUUCAGAUUUAUGAAUAAUCCAACAUCUUUCUAUGCAACGGCAUAAAUAUAUCUCCCCCACUUCAAACGGACCACUUCCACCGAGACUGCAUCUUCAUCGUACAUAAAAAGCACAGCAGGUCCUGUUACUACACGUGAUAUUUCAGGAUAAAUUACUAAAAGGGCUCAAGCCAGGCGGAGAAUGGCAGGCAACAUUUUUCAAAUUCUGGACUGGUGGAAAAUUAAAGUCUGGCACCCAGCAAACAUACCGCAGGAAAUGAGUGGCAGGUGGAAGUGGAUACUUGACACGCAUUUGUGACCGAGGUUUCCAUCAUCUCAAUUUCCUUGAUGUAUCACUUCUGCUCACAGAGCUCUGUUGACAAUAACAGCCAUCGAGGCCUAAUAACUAGUGCGGGAUCGCUCUCGUGGCCUUGUGUGUUGACACGGAAGAGACGAGGUAAUAGCUCAUCACUUCUCAGGCUGGUAAAACGUGAGCGGAGGGGACAAGAGGAGCGAGGGAAGGUAGGGAGCGCUGCCGAAAGAGAAACAUACUACAUCACACGUCUUGACUUCUGCACUACGGGACCCACCGCGCUCAUGGGCGGGUACUGACAUGACGGGUCUUUGAUUGGAUCAGGGGCCAACAGACAACCACAGUGUUGAAUUAUUUUUGGUUCAGAUGACAUAACAUAGCUGCGCUUCGCAGAAAAUAUGACUUCUUUUCUUUAACUAUACGUGGCAGGAAGGUGUUUUAAGAGGAAACUAAAACACGGAUGACCAAGGAGCACGCCGAGACUUUUAACAGGUACUUAGUCCCUUUGGAUGUUCAGUUGACGAUGGACGCUUCAAGGUGCAAUAAAAAUAUCCAAUAAAGUUCCAGUUUCAGUUCGAAACAAAUUCAAUUGCCUCUGUAAAAUGAGCCCUUCCCGGUUCAUGGACUCUGUCCUCGAACAAAUGCUUUUUUUUGUUCACAGACAGAAACUUGUCUCUUGGUG
This is a long non-coding RNA of Gasterosteus aculeatus aculeatus (three-spined stickleback), 2309 nucleotides long. Lineage: Eukaryota; Metazoa; Chordata; Actinopteri; Perciformes; Gasterosteidae. The record is from Ensembl.